AGGCUAAAGGAGAUGAAGGACAACUCGAAAAAGACAGAAGACUUCACCUGAAACUCAAAAGGGAAGAUGAGGAAGGAAGAAUCUUCAGACACUGGAAUGAUCCUCUAGCAGAGCUUCCACAACAAAAGAGACAAAUGAAAAGUAAAAGUUGACUGAAAGUGACCCUAUAUAUAGGAUCCCUCAAUGGGCAGGAUCGAAGUACUCAAACCAAAAUCUUGCUAGAUAUUGACACUUGGCGACAUCUGGACCAACCAU
Molecule: long non-coding RNA, 255 nt
Filed under: Elaeis guineensis (African oil palm)
Lineage: Eukaryota; Viridiplantae; Streptophyta; Magnoliopsida; Arecales; Arecaceae
Description: long non-coding RNA (EGUI_LNC012501)
Source: RNAcentral